GAUGAACGCUGGCGGCAUGCCUAAUACAUGCAAGUCGAACGGGGUGCUUGCACCCAGUGGCGAACGGGUGAGUAACACGUAUCUAAUCUACCUAUUAGUGGGGGACAACAGUUGGAAACGACUGCUAAUACCGCAUAACACCUCUGAAGACAUCUUCGGUGGUUGAAAGGACCUUUUGGUUCGCUAGUAAAUGAGGAUGCGGCGUAUUAGCUAGUUGGCGAGGUAACGGCUCACCAAGGCAAUGAUACGUAGCCGACCUGAGAGGGUGAACGGCCACAUCGGGACUGAGACACGGCCCGAACUCCUACGGGAGGCAGCAGUAGGGAAUUUUUCACAAUGGGCGAAAGCCUGAUGGAGCAAUGCCGCGUGAUUGAUGAAGGUCUUCGGAUCGUAAAGAUCUGUUGUCAGGGAAGAACGGACGGAAGAGUAGAAUGUUUCCGUCUUGACGGUACCUGACCAGAAAGCCACGGCUAACUAUGUGCCAGCCGCCGCCGUAACAC
RNAcentral lists this ribosomal RNA (500 nucleotides) under uncultured bacterium. Its description in RNAcentral is "bacterial SSU rRNA". It matches the Rfam family "Bacterial small subunit ribosomal RNA", at positions 28 to 526 of the family's 1533-position model. The record is from RNAcentral.